GAACGGGUGAGUAACACGUGGGCAAUCUGCCCUUCACUCUGGGACAAGCCCUGGAAACGGGGUCUAAUACCGGAUAACACCUGCCCGGGCAUCCGGGUGGGUUAAAAGCUCCGGCGGUGAAGGAUGAGCCCGCGGCCUAUCAGCUUGUUGGUGAGGUAGUGGCUCACCAAGGCGACGACGGGUAGCCGGCCUGAGAGGGCGACCGGCCACACUGGGACUGAGACACGGCCCAGACUCCUACGGGAGGCAGCAGUGGGGAAUAUUGCACAAUGGGCGAAAGCCUGAUGCAGCGACGCCGCGUGAGGGAUGACGGCCUUCGGGUUGUAAACCUCUUUCAGCAGGGAAGAAGCGAAAGUGACGGUACCUGCAGAAGAAGCGCCGGCUAACUACGUGCCAGCAGCCGCGGUAAUACGUAGGGCGCAAGCGUUGUCCGGAAUUAUUGGGCGUAAAGAGCUCGUAGGCGGCUUGUCACGUCGGGUGUGAAAGCCCGGGGCUUAACCCCGGGUCUGCAUUCGAUACGGGCUAGCUAGAGUGUGGUAGGGGAGAUCGGAAUUCCUGGUGUAGCGGUGAAAUGCGCAGAUAUCAGGAGGAACACCGGUGGCGAAGGCGGAUCUCUGGGCCAUUACUGACGCUGAGGAGCGAAA
This 644-nucleotide ribosomal RNA is filed under the name Streptomyces sp. 5114_5. RNAcentral describes it as "bacterial SSU rRNA". It matches the Rfam family "Bacterial small subunit ribosomal RNA", at positions 100 to 758 of the family's 1533-position model. Lineage: Bacteria; Bacillati; Actinomycetota; Actinomycetes; Kitasatosporales; Streptomycetaceae. RNAcentral also lists the same sequence under 1 other name. The record is from RNAcentral.